GAGAAAUAUUAAAAGACCAGUGUUAUUAGAUUCAUGGAGUGGCCACCUGGCUAACCUGGCUUUCUUUAUACUUAGCUUUAUGCAGUAUUUAAUAGCUUUGACAUUUGGGAGUGCUCUCUGUGAGUCCCUUGUUCUGUGCUGAGGAGUGUGGGGGGCCACAUUACCAACACUGAGUUUUACACCUUUUUUUUCCCUCUGACAGCUCUGCAUCAGAGGAUUAGAAACAAUUUACCUUUUGUCUUGCCAUUUGUUAAAGGAAUACCCUCCUACAACUUCACCUGAUCCUUUGCCCACAGCUGUGUCAGGUGCAAAUGGCUCCAGAUGUUGUCUGCACUGGAAGGCGCUUUGAUGUUCCUGGAUCUAUUUUUGGGAAGCAAGGCCUCAUGCUGACAGGUGAGCAGAUUUCAUCCACACCAGCCUGGAACUUCAGCCUGGGAUUCUUCCCACAGCUGUGCCUGCCUAAGGACCUUGUCAACCACGCUUAACUCCCGAGGCUGGGAGAACCCCACUGCUGUGCAGACUCCUCUCCUGCUCUAAGCAGGCCACUGUUUCCAGCAUUCCUGCCACCCUACCACAGCUGAAUUUACCCCUGCUGAAAUCCUGAGAGCUGCAGGAAGGUUUGUGAAAGCGUUCUUGCCUCAGCUCUCCCCCGUGGCAGCCUUGUCCAGCCACCCACCUCGCCCAUAUCCGACCCAGGAGCCAGCGCCUUGCUGCCCGUUCCUGCUCCCCAUCCCUGCCUGCUGCUGUGCUCCAGUGGGGUUAGGAAUCACCUCAAUCCUCACUGCACACAGGAGGUGCACUGGAUCUGAUGGAGUCUGGUGCCUCUGUUUGGUUCUCCAAAGCUGCUGCCAGAGCUCCCUCUGGGUGGGCACCCCACCCUCUGGAGCUUUCAGGACGCCCCAUUCCCUGCAUGUUAACAGAGGCAUGAAGUGACUGAGCCAGGCUGGCCUAGGCAAAUGUCUGCCUAAGUUAAACAUUGGUUUGACUUCAUACUUUUCUCAGGCAUUCAGAAACAUAACCCUGUAAAAAAAAAAAA
Cyanistes caeruleus (blue tit) is the source of this 1036-nucleotide non-coding RNA. The record is from RefSeq and is a predicted model, not a curated record. Lineage: Eukaryota; Metazoa; Chordata; Aves; Passeriformes; Paridae.